AGCAAAGUAAGCUAUACAAGCUACUGGGCCCAUACCCCAGUGAAACGGAUUAAGCCCCGUCUUUGCCU
Molecule: transfer RNA, 68 nt
Filed under: Cyclopsetta fimbriata (spotfin flounder)
Lineage: Eukaryota; Metazoa; Chordata; Actinopteri; Pleuronectiformes; Cyclopsettidae
Description: tRNA-Met
Source: RNAcentral